GUGAAUCCCUAUCCACACUGACGUCAGCCUCACUUCCGAAGACUCGAAUCCACAAAACCCGUGAAAAUGUCAUGUUGGGAGCUCGAGAUUUGUCAAAUGUGCUCGAUAUUAUCACUUCAGCCCAACGGCAAUGGGAUUUAAACGAGAAAAAGGAAAAAGUGGCGGCUGUUCAUGCUACGAAUCUCUCGAAAGAUCAGUCUGGAGCCGCUGGUGGACAACAGCAACGUUCCGGUUAUUCUAGAUAUGCUCAGGAAGCUUUUGCUCAUGUAAGGGAGCCCCCUCCCCAAACUAUGUGAAAAUUUGAGAAAAAUUGGUGAAAAAUCGAUCUUUCUGCUAUUUUUCACGCAAAAAUUCGGAAAAUUUGAUCCAAAAAUUAUGAAAUUCGUGAAAACCGGCAAUUUUUUCCUAAAAAUUCAACAUUUUCACCAAAAACCCGCUAAAAAUGACGAAUUCGGAUACUGUAGCCCCGUUUCUGUGCAAACAACAACUACAGUAACCCAAAACACUGGAAUUCACGACAAAUUGCACAAAACUCAAAAACUGACGUAAAAAUGCGAUUUUUCACGCAAAAAUUCGAAAAUUUUGAUCCAAAUAAAUGAAAAAUUGAGAAAAGAUUCGAAUUUCAGUGAAAUUAUGUCCAAAAAUCUACUAAAAUUCAAUUUUUUCAGGAAAAAACCAAGGAAAUUCAAACGGAAGGCUCUUUUAUUGGAAGUAAUUUCAGCAGUAUCAAGCAGGGACAUCAUGCGGUACAAAGUUCGUAAAAUCCGAGAAAUUGCAAUUUUAAAUUCAAAAAAAUCAGAAAUUUUAUAAAAUUUGACCCUAAAUUCGAAAAACACCGAAAAAUUCCCACAUUUCGAAACAAAAUUGGAAAACUUCAUAAAUUGACUUAAAAUCCGGGUUUUUGUAAUAUUCUCACCAAUUUUGACUGAAAAAACUCGUAAAAAAUGCUUUUUUUUUUCAUUAAAGUUGAUCUGGAAAGCUGAAAAUUCGGAAAAUUUAUGAAAUUUUCACUAAAAACCUGUGAAAAACCAAUUUGUGCCGGAAAAUGUGAUUUUUAACACAAAAAUUCAGAAAUUUUGCUUCAAAAUGGAGAAUUUCAUGAAAAAUGACGAUUUUGGGUACUGUAGCUCUAUCUCUGUGCAAACACCGACUACAGUAACCCAAAACGUCGGAUUUGACGACAAAUUGCACAGAAUUCAUAAAAUUUGACCUAAAAUCUGGGUUUUUUUUCUGAAAUUUCUACUAAAAAAUGUAAAAAACGCCAAUUUUUCACAAAAUUUUCAAUUUUCCAGAAGCACCCGACGCUCCCCCAGGCCGUCCUCCACUCGCCAAGCCCAUCCAGCUUCUGACGUCAUCAACUGCCACGUCAUCAGGCUCAUCAGCAGCUCAAAAUGGCUCAAAACGGACGUCUCGCUCCCCGAUCAUCAUCGUUCCGUCGGCAAUGAAUACGAUGAUAAAUUUGUACAAUGUUCGAGAUAUUCUGCAGAAUUUCAGCUAUGUUCCUGUUGAUCAGCGACGAAAAGAGACGAAUAAGAAGCCUGUCGAUUUGGCUAUUCAACGGCAGAAAAAUGGUGUUACUU
Molecule: small RNA, 1580 nt
Filed under: Caenorhabditis elegans
Lineage: Eukaryota; Metazoa; Nematoda; Chromadorea; Rhabditida; Rhabditidae
Description: Unclassified non-coding RNA F35F11.7
Source: RNAcentral